This 331-nucleotide ribosomal RNA is filed under the name uncultured eukaryote. RNAcentral describes it as "partial 18S ribosomal RNA". It matches the Rfam family "Eukaryotic small subunit ribosomal RNA", at positions 1470 to 1796 of the family's 1831-position model. The record is from RNAcentral.
CCCUUAGAUGUCCUGGGCCGCACGCGCGCUACACUGAUGCAUGCAACGAGUCGUUUCAAGCCUGGGCCGAGAGGCCCGGGUAAUCUGUUGAACGUGCAUCGUGAUAGGGAUAGAUCAUUGCAAUUAUUGAUCUUGAACGAGGAAUUCCUAGUAAACGCGAGUCAUCAGCUCGUAUUGAUUACGUCCCUGCCCUUUGUACACACCGCCCGUCGCACCUACCGAUUGGAUGGUCCGGUGAAGCCUCGGGAUUGUGGUUCUUGCCGCUUUAUUGUGGCGUGACCGCGAGAACUUGUCUAAACCUUAUCAUCUAGAGGAAGGUGAAGUCGUAACA